UGAGGAAUAUUGGUCAAUGGGCGCAGGCCUGAACCAGCCAAGUAGCGUGAAGGAUGACUGCCCUAUGGGUUGUAAACUUCUUUUAUAAAGGAAUAAAGUCGGGUAUGUAUACCCGUUUGCAUGUACUUUAUGAAUAAGGAUCGGCUAACUCCGUGCCAGCAUCCGCGGUAAUACGGAGGAUCCGAGCGUUAUCCGGAUUUAUUGGGUUUAAAGGGAGCGUAGAUGGAUGUUUAAGUCAGUUGUGAAAGUUUGCGGCUCAACCGUAAAAUUGCAGUUGAUACUGGAUAUCUUGAGUGCAGUUGAGGCAGGCGGAAUUCGUGGUGUAGCGGUGAAAUGCUUAGAUAUCACGAAGAACUCCGAUUGCGAAGGCAGCCUGCUAAGCUGCAACUGACAUUGAGGCUCGAAAGUGUGGGUAUCAAACA
Molecule: ribosomal RNA, 422 nt
Filed under: uncultured prokaryote
Description: bacterial SSU rRNA
Rfam family: Bacterial small subunit ribosomal RNA
Source: RNAcentral